CGGAAAGUCCCCUCUGCCGUCUGCUCUACAGGGAGAUGUCUUCUUGUGGUUUCUUCUAUUAUGAAGAUUGAAGAGUGAACAGCAUCAGGGACAUUGGUGCUCCAGGCUACCCGCUUCAUAGUUGCAGUUGAUGGAAGAUUCAUCAACUCAGACUUGACUUCACUCGUUGCUGCGAUGGCCAUGGUUUUCGCAGCAUUUUACAUAUUUGAUAGUCUUUACCCAUCAGAAGCUUCAGUCACACUGGAAUUUAUGCAGAGGUGUUUCUUCAUAAUAAAUCCGGAAAAAGGGACAAAAAAUACCAGAACAAAGAAAAAAGUGGCACACACCCAUCCAAGAAUAUUAAGUUCAAUGCAGAGUUUUCUGCAUAUGAGCUUAAGGAAUAAGGAGUG
Long non-coding RNA from Macrobrachium nipponense, 389 nucleotides. RefSeq lists it as uncharacterized. Lineage: Eukaryota; Metazoa; Arthropoda; Malacostraca; Decapoda; Palaemonidae. The transcript is spliced from 3 exons. The record is from RefSeq and is a predicted model, not a curated record.